Molecule: ribosomal RNA, 460 nt
Filed under: uncultured bacterium
Lineage: Bacteria
Description: partial 16S ribosomal RNA
Rfam family: Bacterial small subunit ribosomal RNA
Source: RNAcentral
CCUACGGGCGGCAGCAGUGAGGAAUAUUGGUCAAUGGACGAGAGUCUGAACCAGCCAAGCCGCGUGAAGGAUGACUGCCCUCUGGGUUGUAAACUUCUUUUAUAUGGGAAUAAAAUGUUCCACGCGUGGGCUUUUGUAUGUACCAUAAGAAUAAGGAUCGGCUAACUCAGGGCCAGCAGCCGCGGUAAUACGGAGGAUCCGAUCGUUAUCCGGAUUUAAUGGGUUUAAAGGGAGCGGAGGUGGAUUGUUAAGUCAGUUGUGAAAGUUUGCGGCUCAACCGUAAAAUUGCAGUUGAUACUGGCAGUCUUGAGUACAGUAGAGGUGGGCGGAAUUCGUGGUGUAGCGGUGAAAUGCUUAGAUAUCACGAAGAACUCCGAUUGCGAAGGCAGUUCACUGGACUGCAACUGACGCUGAGGCUCGAAAGUGUGGGUAUCAAACAGGAUUAGAUACCCCUGUAGUC